UACGUAGGGCGCAAGCGUUGUCCGGAAUUAUUGGGCGUAAAGAGCUCGUAGGCGGCUUGUCACGUCGGAUGUGAAAGCCCGGGGCUUAACCCCGGGUCUGCAUUCGAUACGGGCUAGCUAGAGUGUGGUAGGGGAGAUCGGAAUUCCUGGUGUAGCGGUGAAAUGCGCAGAUAUCAGGAGGAACACCGGUGGCGAAGGCGGUUCUCUGGGCCUGUACUGACGCUGAGGAACGAAAGCGUGGGGAGCGAACAGG
RNAcentral lists this ribosomal RNA (253 nucleotides) under uncultured bacterium. RNAcentral's name for it is "partial 16S ribosomal RNA". It matches the Rfam family "Bacterial small subunit ribosomal RNA", at positions 524 to 776 of the family's 1533-position model. The record is from RNAcentral.